UACGGAGGGUGCGAGCGUUGUUCGGAAUCACUGGGCGUAAAGGGCGUGUAGGCGGUCCGCUAAGUCUGAUGUGAAAGCCCGGGGCUCACCCCCGGAAGGGCAUUGGAAACUGACGGACUCGAGUCCCGAAGAGGAGGGUGGAAUUCCUGGUGUAGCGGUGAAAUGCGUAGAUAUCAGGAGGAACACCGGUGGUGUAGACGGCUUUCUGGACCGUAACUGACGCUGAAACACGAAAGCGUGGGUAGCAAACAGG
Molecule: ribosomal RNA, 253 nt
Filed under: uncultured bacterium
Lineage: Bacteria
Description: partial 16S ribosomal RNA
Rfam family: Bacterial small subunit ribosomal RNA
Source: RNAcentral